Molecule: ribosomal RNA, 484 nt
Filed under: uncultured bacterium
Lineage: Bacteria
Description: partial 16S ribosomal RNA
Rfam family: Bacterial small subunit ribosomal RNA
Source: RNAcentral
AUUGAACGCUGGCGGCAUGCUUUACACAUGCAAGUCGAACGGCAGCGCGGGCUUCGGCCUGGCGGCGAGUGGCGAACGGGUGAGUAAUGCAUCGGAACGUGCCCAGUAGUGGGGGAUAGCCCGGCGAAAGCCGGAUUAAUACCGCAUACGACCUGAGGGUGAAAGCGGGGGACCGAAAGGCCUCGCGCUAUUGGAGCGGCCGAUGUCGGAUUAGCUAGUUGGUGGGGUAAAGGCUUACCAAGGCGACGAUCCAUAGCUGGUCUGAGAGGACGACCAGCCACACUGGGACUGAGACACGGCCCAGACUCCUACGGGAGGCAGCAGUGGGGAAUUUUGGACAAUGGGGGCAACCCUGAUCCAGCCAUGCCGCGUGCGAGAAGAAGGCCUUCGGGUUGUAAACCGCUUUUGUUCGGGAAGAAAUCCUCUGGGCUAAUACCCCGGGGGGAUGACGGUACCGGAAGAAUAAGCACCGGCUAACUACGUG